AGAUGUGAGGGCGAGCUGGCCGCGACAUCAGUCCCCGCAUUGAUCGCCAGGGUUGACUCCACUGAUCUGGCUGGCGAGGCAGGUGUGCCCUUUCUCCCUCACCACUCCACGUGCGUCCGUCCGGAAGCUGCGCGCUUGGUCGAAGAGGACGACUACCCCGGAUAGAGGAGGAGUGUCUUCUCGGUCAAAGGUAUUCGUGUAGCCGUGCUCCCCUGCUAGGACCUCCAAACAAGCGCUCAAGGUCCAUUUGAAAUAGAGUCUUGUUAAAGUUGCCCAGACUGGCCUUGACCUUGCAGUCCUCCUGACU
This is a non-coding RNA of Heterocephalus glaber (naked mole-rat), 307 nucleotides long. The record is from Rfam. Lineage: Eukaryota; Metazoa; Chordata; Mammalia; Rodentia; Bathyergidae.